RNAcentral lists this ribosomal RNA (484 nucleotides) under uncultured bacterium. RNAcentral describes it as "partial 16S ribosomal RNA". It matches the Rfam family "Bacterial small subunit ribosomal RNA", at positions 30 to 507 of the family's 1533-position model. The record is from RNAcentral.
AUUGAACGCUGGCGGCAGGCCUAACACAUGCAAGUCGAGCGGAUGAAGGGAGCUUGCUCCUGGAUUCAGCGGCGGACGGGUGAGUAAUGCCUAGGAAUCUGCCUGGUAGUGGGGGAUAACGUCCGGAGACGGGCGCUAAUACCGCAUACGUCCUGAGGGAGAAAGUGGGGGAUCUUCGGACCUCACGCUAUCAGAUGAGCCUAGGUCGGAUUAGCUAGUUGGUGGGGUAAAGGCCUACCAAGGCGACGAUCCGUAACUGGUCUGAGAGGAUGAUCAGUCACACUGGAACUGAGACACGGUCCAGACUCCUACGGGAGGCAGCAGUGGGGAAUAUUAGACAAUGGGCGAAAGCCUGAUCCAGCCAUGCCGCGUGUGUGAAGAAGGUCUUCGGAUUGUAAAGCACUUUAAGUUGGGAGGAAGGGCAGUAAGUUAAUACCUUGCUGUUUUGACGUUACCAACAGAAUAAGCACCGGCUAACUUCGUG